CCGAAUUCGUCGACACAGAGUUUGAUCCUGGCUCAGAAUCAACGCUGGCGGCGUGCCUCAGACAUGCAAGUCGAACGCGAAAUCUCCCUUCGGGGAGAAAGUAGAGUGGCGCACGGGUGAGUAACACGUAGGUAAUUUGCCUUCGGGUGGGGAAUAACUCAGGGAAACUUGAGCUAAUACCGCAUAAUGCAGCGGCUCGACAUCGAGACAGUUGUUAAAGCGGGGGAUCGCAAGACCUCGCGCCUGAAGAGAAGCCUGCGGCAGAUUAGCUAGUUGGUAGGGUAAUGGCCUACCAAGGCGACGAUCUGUAACCGGCCUGAGAGGGCGGUCGGUCACACUGACACUGACAUACGGGUCGGACUCCUACGGGAGGCAGCAGUCGGGAAUUUUGGGCAAUGGGCGAAAGCCUGACCCAGCAACGCCGCGUGAAGGAUGAAAUCCCUCGGGAUGUAAACUUCGCAAGAAUGGGAAGAAUAAGUGGGGGACAAUACCCCCCAUGAUGACGGUACCAUUUGUAAGCUCCGGCUAACUCCGUGCCAGCAGCCGCGGUAAUACGGGGGGAGCAAGCGUUGUUCGGAUUUACUGGGCGUAAAGGGCGCGUAGGCGGUCGUGACAAGUCACUUGUGAAAUCUCCGGGCUUAACUCGGAACGGUCAAGUGAUACUGUCGGACUAGAGUACAGAAAGGGCAACUGGAAUUCUCGGUGUAGCGGUGAAAUGCGUAGAUAUCGAGAGGAACACCUGCGGCGAAGGCGGGUUGCUGGGCUGAUACUGACGCUGAGGCGCGAAAGCCAGGGGAGCGAACGGGAUUAGAUACCCCGGUAGUCCUGGCCUUAAACGAUGAAUGCUUGGUGUCUCGGGUUAUAAAGUCCCGGGGUGCCGUCGCUAACGCUUUUAGCAUUCCGCCUGGGGGAGUACGGUCGCAAGACUGAAACUCAAAGGAAUUGACGGGAACCCGCACAAGCGGGGGGAACAUGGUGGUUUAAUUUCGACCCACCGCGAAAAAACCUUUACUUGGGCUAGAAAUGCCUCCCGACGGGCCUGAAGAAGAUCAGGGGCUUUCUGGGGUAAAAACCGGGACCGGGAAGUGGCAGGGG
RNAcentral lists this ribosomal RNA (1095 nucleotides) under uncultured bacterium. RNAcentral describes it as "bacterial SSU rRNA". It matches the Rfam family "Bacterial small subunit ribosomal RNA", at positions 1 to 1049 of the family's 1533-position model. The record is from RNAcentral.